RNAcentral lists this ribosomal RNA (466 nucleotides) under Globigerina bulloides. RNAcentral's name for it is "bacterial SSU rRNA". It matches the Rfam family "Eukaryotic small subunit ribosomal RNA", at positions 1164 to 1448 of the family's 1831-position model. Lineage: Eukaryota; Foraminifera; Rotaliida; Globigerinidae. The record is from RNAcentral.
GCACCACAAGAGCGUGGAGUAUGUGGCUUAAUUUGACUCAACGCGGAAAAGCUUAUCUGGUCCGGACACAGUGAGGAUUGACAGACAGUUAGACAGAAGUGAGGUUUUGGUAACAAUUGAGAGAGUUGAAGUUCUUUCAUGAUCUUGUGAGAGGUGGUGCAUGGCCGUUCUUAGUUCGUGUAGUGAUAUGUCUGCCUAAUCGCGUCACGAUAACCUAUUGGUCGACAACCCAAUUAUCACAACUGCAGCAUAACUCCCCUUGGGUGGGCGAGGCUCUGUGUAGAUAGACCUCUGAACAGUACGCAACGAACGCGAUCGUAAUCCCUUGUUGAGUGGCCAUCCUGUAAGCUGCUGGAUUAGGAACCCAGUGGUAUUAUCUCAGCCACAGAUUUUCUGGUUGUAGUGGGCCAGUUUUGAAACUCGGGGAACAUCUGUGACUUUCUUUCUUAACGCAGAGGAAGGUUAU